CCACAUUCCGCUUCCGUCUUCCUUGGUCACAACCUGCACCUGCACCUGCUCCAUCUCCAGCUCCAAUACCUGCAAGCAAACCAUCCACUCAGCCAACUACCAAAACAAGUCGCGCUCCCACAACUCAUACUGGUUCACGAGCUGCUUCACAGCCCUCCAGCAGCAGUACACCCACAGCUACGCCGUCCUCCAGUCCUACAACUGAAACCUCAACUCCCAACCAACCACCAAGCGCCACCUCAACUGCGACAUCUGGAAAGCCUUCUUCACCAGCUCAACCUUCAGCUGGCACUCAAGGCCGUAACGAGGUCCCCACCAGUACAACCGCCCCGAAACCAAUAUCUCCUACGCCUUUUCCUCAGCCCUCAGCUGAAAUGAACGCACCUAGCCAGCCCUCCACAAGUACAAGCACUUUAACUGAAACUACCCCUAUUCCUCCUCAACCUUCAGCUGAAAGCAAAGCCCCCAUCCAGCCCACUACCACAAACACAAGCCCUUUACCUGAAAGCACCACAGUUCCUCCUCAACCUUCAGCUGAAAGGAAAGCCCCAGUCCAGUCAUCAACCACAAACUCUACACCUGCAAAUGCUCCAGCUAGUCCGAAAUCUGAAACUCAAACCCCUACCACUGCCAUAACCACCACGCCUACAUCCACAAUAGCUCAGAGCGGACUAUCUAGUCCUCCAGGAGUUUCUCCCUCACUCUCUUCUCAAACUCGGGCAUCAAGAAUUGAGUCUCAGCCCUUGAUACCAUCUCUAGAACAGCAAGGGAUCAGUUCUCAACCAGCCUCACCAUCUGAUGGGCCAACUAAGUCUCGGGUGUCCCCGCCUCCAUCUCCAUCCCCAUCUCGUUCAGCUCCUCAAUCACGAGAAAUGAACCCGAUAUCCUCCCCAACACGCAAGGAUCCCCAAGUCCUCUCAACAGACCACUUAACCUCAAAGGUACCUCCUCCUGCAAGCCAGAGUACUUCUUCAGAUCUUCCAUCUGGUAUGACAUCUCAAAUGCAAGAAAAAGAUAAGACAAUUGCUCUGCCAACAUUUCCGCUGAAACAAUUAGACAGUUCAGAACCUUCUUCCAAAUCCACUGAAGCACUUGCAUCAAUUUCUGGAAAAGAACCAAAGUUCACAGCAAUUCGUCCACAGUCGGAACAAAUGGAGCUUCUCAAGAAAGAGACCAUAUCUGACACAGUCGCUGAAGCAAAAGUUAAGUCACCUGAAAAGGUAAUGAAACCUUCAGAAAUAUCAGAGGUGAAAUCCACUAAAGGCAUUACACAAGAACCAUCCCAGAUAUCAGACUCUUC
This 1300-nucleotide long non-coding RNA is filed under the name Nicotiana tabacum (common tobacco). Its description in RNAcentral is "long non-coding RNA (NTAB_LNC005727)". Lineage: Eukaryota; Viridiplantae; Streptophyta; Magnoliopsida; Solanales; Solanaceae. The record is from RNAcentral.